CGAAGGGGGCGAGCGUUGUUCGGAAUUAUUGGGCGUAAAGGGAGCGUAGGCGGUUCGAUAAGUCACUUGUGAAAUCUCUGGGCUCAACUCAGAGUCUGCAAGCGAAACUGUCGGGCUUGAGUAUGGGAGAGGUGAGUGGAAUUCCUGGUGUAGCGGUGAAAUGCGUAGAUAUCAGGAGGAACACCUGUGGCGAAAGCGGCUCACUGGACCAUUACUGACGCUGAUGCUCGAAAGCUAGGGGAGCAAACAGGAUUAGAUACCCUGGUAGUCCUAGCCCUAAACGAUGAUUGCUUGGUGUGGUGGGUACCCAAUCCCACUGUGCCGAAGCUAACGCGAUAAGCAAUCCGCCUGGGGAGUACGGUCGCAAGGCUG
This 372-nucleotide ribosomal RNA is filed under the name uncultured organism. RNAcentral's name for it is "bacterial SSU rRNA". It matches the Rfam family "Bacterial small subunit ribosomal RNA", at positions 526 to 896 of the family's 1533-position model. The record is from RNAcentral.